This is a non-coding RNA of Leptonychotes weddellii (Weddell seal), 2082 nucleotides long. Lineage: Eukaryota; Metazoa; Chordata; Mammalia; Carnivora; Phocidae. The record is from RefSeq and is a predicted model, not a curated record.
GAUGGGGUGGGCGGCUGGGAGGAAGCGGGAGGCCCUGCUUCUGCUGCCCGGUGCGCGGCAGUUCCGACACCAGGAUUUUCUUCAGUAUCCGAGCAGGAAAAGCCGCUCCCCUGCACCUGGCUUCCUGCCUCAUCCCCUCGUGUCGGGCUAACGGGGGUCUCGUGGGGCUUAGGGAGUGGUUGGCGAGGGAAGGGGUGUGUGUGGGCGCGCGCGUGUGUGUGCGCGCGCGUGUGCCGCGCCCGGAGGGAGAAGGGCAGAGUCUGCCGCAGGGCCCCCUCCUCGCUUCCCCUCUUCCCAGCCCUUGGUUGCUAUGCAGUUUCUAUGGCAGCAGCAUCCUCAGACCCAACUUGCACCCAUCAUUUAGAGCUAAUUAAGCACUUGGUCAGACGGAAAGGAAAGUUUUAAAAAAUGCCGAUUGCACAGUUGCUGGAGCUAUGGAAAAAGAUCGAGGUGGAGCCCAUGGAAAUAGAGACCGCCGAGGAGGAUCUUGACCUGGACUCGGAGCCCACCAUCAAAGAUACCGUGGAAGAACAGGGCAAAUGGGACUCGGCCUUGCCUGAGACAAAGUCAGCUGCGUCCGUGGAGGUAAGACCUGUUCGAGUUGGCUUGUGUUUCUCCUGAGAAUAUGAGUUCCAGGUUUAAAAGAGUGUUGAGCGCGAAGUGUUCUUUCAGUUUCUUGCGUUACCUGACCCUGCUCAGUCCAGCGGAGCCGGCCGUGGUGUGCUCUUAGAGGGGGGAUCCCGCACAGUGAAGUUUCCAUUAUCUGACGUUCCGGGUUUAGUGAUGAAACGCCUGGACUGGUGCAAUAACGUCUUUGUGCAGCAGGGGUCUGCCUUGUGUGCGUAGGUGGGACAGUCUCCUGCUUUCUCUGAAGACGGUGGGUUCUGUUCUGAAUCUGUGGGUCGCUGGGGUCAUCAUAUAUAUGAUUCCAUGUGCAUUAUUCCUUUUCAAACUCUACCAUGUGCCUUCAAAAUAAGCCGGGAGUCACAACAACAAGGGAGCCCUCAGAACGAGGUGACGCUGGGGUGGGAGGCUGGCCCCAUGCUGGGUCUGCCGGGAGCUGUGGGACUGUACUGACUGCAUGUGGAGGUCAAGUCCUCAUCAGAAGCUUGUCUAGGAAUUAGGCCUAAAAUGGGUCAUUUUAGAUGAAGGUAGAUUUCCUGCAGUAUUUCAAGCAGCUAUGUGGUUUGAAUAGUAACAUCGUAAAUAAGAAGUUUGGUAAAGUGGUUUUAUGGGUGUUUUACUUUUCCUGACUCCCUGGAAACCGCUACGUGUCCAGGCAAAGCCAUGACAUCCGUAUUCAUCGGGGCGAAUAUUCCCAGCGGGCAAGGCGGGAGAAGACGCUUCCGCGAGUGGUCAGUCUCGCGUUUGAGUGAACGAGCUCAGCACUGAGCUCCCCUGUUGCGCUUUUAGCAUACUUACGGUAUGUCUGCAUCCAGUAGAUUUUUAUAAGUAGCUUAACGCAAAGAACUUGGUCGAAGAAAAGGUUCUCUGUACCAUUAUGUUUUGUGAAUUAUAUCUUAUUAGACAUAAACAUCAUGUCAGUGGAACUGAAGGUCGGUGAUGAUGAUUUAUGGUCUGUGACAUCUCAGCGUGGUUCUGGUUACUUUGGUUAAGUGAUUAGACAGGUGUCUGAAGAGUCGUUUGCUUUGCAGCCUCGUGUAAAAGACACUCAGAAACAAGGCAUGUCGUGGUGGGCGGGAAUGGCCCUUCUCCUCUCAUAACAUCUUUGCAGUCUAGUUUAUAACCUGUUCAAGAAAAAAACAGGUCAGCUCUCGUUGGUGAUUCUUAUCAGAGCUUUAUCUGGCUCUCUGUGGUGAGGUCCGUGAGGAGCUGCGUCUCACGGAGAGAGAAAAAGUCCCGUUAUUCUGCCUGUUGUCACACUCCACACUUGGACUGGCCCUGGAGAGCAAGAAUGAAGAUUCCAUACUGCAUGUAGUUCUCUUCUUUUGGCCAGAGAAACCGACGUAGGCAGAUUGACAAGAACGUAGCUGGUGGGUGAUGGAAGCCAUGCGGGUGGGUGUCACGCAUGCAUCGUUCCCAGUAACCAGCCCUCCAUGCAUGUUGCAGUAAGAGCCACGG